This 89-nucleotide transfer RNA is filed under the name Parcubacteria bacterium C7867-006. RNAcentral's name for it is "tRNA-Ser". It matches the Rfam family "tRNA". From Rfam's summary of the family: Transfer RNA (tRNA) molecules are approximately 80 nucleotides in length. Their secondary structure includes four short double-helical elements and three loops (D, anti-codon, and T loops). The record is from RNAcentral. Lineage: Bacteria; Candidatus Parcubacteria.
GGAGACGUGUCAGAGUGGUCUAACGUGCCUCUUUGCUAAAGAGGUGUGCCCUUUAAACGGCACCGACGGUUCGAAUCCGUCCGUCUCCG